ACAGGCUUUUGAUACGAAAGGUUUAUUUAACGAAAAGACUGAUGAAUCAAGUCCAUACAUGAAAGCAAGAACACUGCUAAAUCUUACACCAUUCACCAACAGCCUCGUUUCCAAAAACAACAAUGGCAAAGGCAAUUUCCCCAGCAGCAAUAUCAGCAGCAGGUUUCUCAGGGGUAUAGGCCUUACAGAAAUUCUCAAGGUAGAUCUUCUCAGCAGUCUUCUACCGCUCCACCCUACAAACAGCAAACAUCACAUAAGCAUCAAUCUUAUCGCCCACCCAACAAGAAAUCCAAGCAGUACCCUUGACUGCAUCAACCAUUCAGGAUCAUCACACGCGACUUGCCCCAUUCUACCACAAUUGGCAAAGGAUAUCAAAGGACAAGUGGGUUCUGAACAUCAUCAAAUUUGGCUACCGGCUAGAGUUGGUAGACCUCCCUCCUCUAGGGUAUCUGCGAAUGACAACAUCCAAUCCCACCCUGGAGGAGGAGGUUCUCACUCUACUCCAAAAGAAUGCAAUACAGCGGGUCCCUCGUCGAGACAUUCUCAGGGGGUUUUACUCCUGAUAUUUCACUGUUCCAAAAAAGGAUGGGGGUCUCAGACCCAUACUAGACCUCAGGGACCUCAACAAUUACCUUCAGCCAUGCCGGUUCCGGAUGGUCACCCUGGAGUCCAUCAUACUCCAGUUGAGAAAGGGAGAUUGGUUUGUGGUUAUAGACCUGAAGGACGCAUACGUCCACGUCACAAUACACCAUCAUCACAGGAAGUAUCUGUGGUUCAUAAUCAACAACAAGGUCUACCAGUAUGCAGCCUUACCAUUCGGCUUAGCAACGGCUCCAUGCACGUUUACAAAGUGCAUGGCUCCAGUGGCUGCAUUUCUACGUCUACAAGGUGUAAAAGUAUUCCAGUACAUCGACGAUUGGCUCAUAGUGUCACCGUCCAGACGGAAAGCCAUUCAGGACACCAAAUUCACUCUCCACACUCUGCAAAGUCUAGGACUCACCAUAAAUUUCGAGAACUCUACCCUGAAGCCUUCUUGAGUUAUGAGUUACAGUAUAUAGGAGCAACACUGGACUCCAGAAAGGCAAGGCUUUUUCUUCCUCCAGAGUGCAUCCACAAACUACAGACCGCUCUUCAAAAGUUUCAACCACACGCCCUGGUGUCAGCACA
RNAcentral lists this long non-coding RNA (1167 nucleotides) under Pogona vitticeps (central bearded dragon). Its description in RNAcentral is "lncRNA (ENSPVIG00000004871.1)". Lineage: Eukaryota; Metazoa; Chordata; Lepidosauria; Squamata; Agamidae. The record is from RNAcentral.